RNAcentral lists this ribosomal RNA (889 nucleotides) under uncultured beta proteobacterium. Its description in RNAcentral is "bacterial SSU rRNA". It matches the Rfam family "Bacterial small subunit ribosomal RNA", at positions 8 to 896 of the family's 1533-position model. The record is from RNAcentral. Lineage: Bacteria; Pseudomonadati; Pseudomonadota; Betaproteobacteria.
AGAGUUUGAUCCUGGCUCAGAUUGAACGCUGGCGGCAUGCCUUUACACAUGCAAGUCGAACGGUAACAGGUUAAGCUGACGAGUGGCGAACGGGUGAGUAAUAUAUCGGAACGUGCCCAGUCGUGGGGGAUAACGCAGCGAAAGCUGUGCUAAUACCGCAUACGAUCUAUGGGAUGAAAGCGGGGGACUUGCAAGAGCCUCGCGCGAUUGGAGUGGCCGAUAUCAGAUUAGCUAGUUGGUGGGGUAAAAGCUCACCAAGGCGACGAUCUGUAGCUGGUCUGAGAGGACGACCAGCCACACUGGAACUGAGACACGGUCCAGACUCCUACGGGAGGCAGCAGUGGGGAAUUUUGGACAAUGGGCGCAAGCCUGAUCCAGCAAUGCCGCGUGCAGGAUGAAGGCCUUCGGGUUGUAAACUGCUUUUGUACGGAGCGAAAAGGUUCUUUCUAAUACAAGGGAUUCAUGACGGUACCGCAAGAAUAAGCACCGGCUAACUACGUGCCAGCAGCCGCGGUAAUACGUAGGGUGCGAGCGUUAAUCGGAAUUACUGGGCGUAAAGCGUGCGCAGGCGGUUUUGUAAGACAAAUGUGAAAACCCCGGGCUCAACCUGGGAACUGCAUAUGUGACUGCAAGGCUAGAGUACGGUAGAGGGGGAUGGAAUUCCGCGUGUAGCAGUGAAAUGCGUAGAUAUGCGGAGGAACACCGAUGGCGAAGGCAAUCCCCUGGACCUGUACUGACGCUCAUGCACGAAAGCGUGGGGAGCAAACAGGAUUAGAUACCCUGGUAGUCCACGCCCUAAACGAUGUCAACUGGUUGUUGGGUCUUUACUGACUCAGUAACGAAGCUAACGCGUGAAGUUGACCGCCUGGGGAGUACGGCCGCAAGGUUG